RNAcentral lists this ribosomal RNA (441 nucleotides) under uncultured bacterium. RNAcentral's name for it is "partial 16S ribosomal RNA". It matches the Rfam family "Bacterial small subunit ribosomal RNA", at positions 338 to 795 of the family's 1533-position model. The record is from RNAcentral.
CCUACGGGGGGUAGCAGUGGGGGAUAUUGCACAAUGGGGGAAACCCUGAUGCAGCGACGCCGCGUGUGGGAAGACGGUCCUCUGGAUUGUAAACCACUGUCCCCAGGGACGAAGAUGACGGUACCUGGGGAGUACGCUCCGGCUAACUACGUGCCAGCAGCCGCGGUCAUACGUAGGGACCGAGCGUGGUCCGGAAUUACUGGGUGUAAAGGGAGCGUAGGCGGGGAUGCAAGUUGGGUGUCAAAACUACCGGCUCAACUGGUAGUCGCACUCAAAACUGCAGCUCUUGAGUGAAGUAGAGGCAGGCGGAAUUCCGAGUGUAGCGGUGAAAUGCGUAGAUAUUAGGAGGAACACCAGUGGCGAAGGCGGCCUGCUGGGCUUUUACUGACGCUGAGGCUCGAAAGUGUGGGGAGCAAACAGGAUUAGAUACCCCUAGUAGUC